UAGGAUGUAGUGUAAUUGGUAGCACUGAGAUUUUUGAAUUCUCGAGAUUUUUGAAUUCUCAAGUUUAGGUUCGAUUCCUGUAGUUCUAG
This 89-nucleotide transfer RNA is filed under the name Loxodonta africana (African savanna elephant). It matches the Rfam family "tRNA". Rfam says of the family: Transfer RNA (tRNA) molecules are approximately 80 nucleotides in length. Their secondary structure includes four short double-helical elements and three loops (D, anti-codon, and T loops). Lineage: Eukaryota; Metazoa; Chordata; Mammalia; Proboscidea; Elephantidae. The record is from Rfam by way of RNAcentral.